UAGGGAAUCUUCCACAAUGGACGCAAGUCUGAUGGAGCAACGCCGCGUGAGUGAAGAAGGGUUUCGGCUCGUAAAGCUCUGUUGUAAGAGAAGAACGUGUGUGAGAGUGGAAAGUUCACACAGUGACGGUAACUUACCAGAAAGUCACGGCUAACUACGUGCCAA
This 165-nucleotide ribosomal RNA is filed under the name uncultured bacterium. RNAcentral describes it as "partial 16S rRNA". It matches the Rfam family "Bacterial small subunit ribosomal RNA", at positions 355 to 511 of the family's 1533-position model. The record is from RNAcentral.